Molecule: ribosomal RNA, 253 nt
Filed under: uncultured prokaryote
Description: partial 16S ribosomal RNA
Rfam family: Bacterial small subunit ribosomal RNA
Source: RNAcentral
UACGGAGGGUGCAAGCAUUAAUCGGAUUUAUUGGGCGUAAAGGGCGCGUAGGCGGGAAUAUAAGUCAGAUGUGAAAGCCCAGAGCUCAACUCUGGAACGGCAUUUGAAACUAUAUUUCUUGAGGGUAGGCGGAGAAAACGGAAUUCCACGUGUAGCGGUGAAAUGCGUAGAUAUGUGGAAGAACACCGGUGGCGAAGGCGGUUUUCUAGCUUACUCCUGACGCUGAGGCGCGAAAGCAAGGGGAGCAAACAGG